GCGAAUGCUGACAUAAGUAACGAUAAAGCGGGUGAAAAGCCCGCUCGCCGGAAGACCAAGGGUUCCUGUCCAACGUUAAUCGGGGCAGGGUGAGUCGACCCCUAAGGCGAGGCCGAAAGGCGUAGUCGAUGGGAAACAGGUUAAUAUUCCUGUACUUGGUGUUACUGCGAAGGGGGGACGGAGAAGGCUAUGUUGGCCGGGCGACGGUUGUCCCGGUUUAAGCGUGUAGGCUGGUUUUCCAGG
RNAcentral lists this ribosomal RNA (243 nucleotides) under Escherichia coli. RNAcentral describes it as "partial 23S ribosomal RNA". It matches the Rfam family "Bacterial large subunit ribosomal RNA", at positions 1290 to 1536 of the family's 2925-position model. Lineage: Bacteria; Pseudomonadati; Pseudomonadota; Gammaproteobacteria; Enterobacterales; Enterobacteriaceae. The record is from RNAcentral.